This 363-nucleotide unclassified non-coding RNA is filed under the name fungal sp. Its description in RNAcentral is "partial internal transcribed spacer region". The stretch from base 1 to 46 matches the Rfam family "Eukaryotic small subunit ribosomal RNA", at positions 1786 to 1831 of the family's 1831-position model. The record is from RNAcentral. Lineage: Eukaryota; Fungi.
AAGUCGUAACAAGGUUUCCGUAGGUGAACCUGCGGAAGGAUCAUUAACACGUAUCCAACGUUAAACAACCCUGUGAACUUUCAGCGCUCUUGUAGCCCCGGAGGAACAGCAAUCCCGGUAAAUCAAAUGGCGGAAAGAGUUUUGAUUCGGGACCUCUGUCCAAAAGGUAUCAAGUUACAAUCGAGCAGAGCAGUGGCAUGGUUUCCCUAAGCAGUGCAGAAGGAUCCACUGAGUAAGGAUAACGCAUCACGGUUGCCAGAGGUCGAUCACCGGCCGGCAGACAUGUCACAGGGCUUUACGCCCCUCGCGGAAACGCCGGGCAUAAAAACCGAACAACUGUUAACAAUGGAUAUCUUGGUUCUC